Phyllostomus discolor (pale spear-nosed bat) is the source of this 6214-nucleotide long non-coding RNA. RefSeq lists it as uncharacterized. The record is from RefSeq and is a predicted model, not a curated record. NCBI's taxonomy places the organism in Eukaryota, Metazoa, Chordata, Mammalia, Chiroptera, Phyllostomidae. The transcript is spliced from 3 exons.
GUCCCAGGGAGAAUUCUCAUAAUGACUAAAGAAGUAAUAUUCCAACCUAAAGGCUGAAAAGGAAAUGGAAAUAAACUGAGACUUAUUAUGAAAAAGACGAAAGGAGAAAUGGUGAAGGCCCUGAAGUGUAGUGGAAAGAAUGUUUUGGGAUAAGAUAGAUCGUAGUUUGAAUCCUUCCCCUCUCUAUGAUUUGCUGACUUGUGACCUUGAUUUGCUUAUUUCUCUGAGCAACAGUUAUUUCAGAUGUGAAAUGAGAAUUUUUCCUUAUAGGACUAUUUACUAAAAGAUUAAGUGAGAUAAUUUAUAUGAAAUAAUUGAUAACAGUAAGACUAGCUAAUAUAUUAGAUGCUUACUAUGUGCCAGGUCCUGCUAAGUCUUUUAUACGAAUUUUUCUUUUAAACUUAACAUGGCUGUGGGCAAAUAGUCACCAUAAAUUUUAGAUUCCCUAUAAAGGAGUGGCUUAAGUGAGAUGUUGGUGAUAAUAGUGUUAAGAAGAUACUGAGAAAUUGGCUGAAGUUGUGAACUUUUUGCUGGAGGUAUCUUGCCAAAAGUUAGCAAAUAUGUGAUACUGAAGGUGUGAAAGUUGCUGAUAAAUUAUGAAGAUGAUGCUAGAGUACAGAAGCAAAUGCACCAAAAAUAAGAAGACUAAUAAUAAUUGUGGUAGUACAGACCACUUCCACCCUCUUCCCCACCAAAUAAGCCAUAUGGAAGUAAUAAUAAUUCAGUGAGAUACUUAUUGAAGCAUUUGAUGAGUUCAGGAAAUUUUCCUGAUCCUCUCAGUUAACAGUGAUAAUAAUAACAAUAAAGUUAGUGAUGAUGAUCAUAUGAAUAGCUGACACAUGCGUGGUGCUUAUUAUAGGAAAAGCAUGGCUCUAAGCACUCUGCUAUAUUAAGAUUAUCUAAUUUCACAACUCUAUGAGAGAGUACUUUUAUUAUCUCACUUUUAUGUAUGAAAACACUGAGGCACAGAGAUCUCAUUUCAAUGGCUUGCUCAGGGUCACACAGCGAGAUCACGGCUCCCAUUCUAUAGCUGUGAGUCCUGCCAUGUGCAAAGUGACCUGUACAUAUGCUGAUCUUCCACACAACAGAGAGACUGAGUGGAGCUUCAUUUAGUAACUGAGGUCACAUAGCUAAGAGGUGGUCAAGAUGGAAUUCUAACUCAUAUUGACUGGAUUCCAAAGAUUUUUUCCCAUGAUUCUAUGCUAUUCUUUUGGUCAAUCCUGAAAAAAAAACCUAAACAACAACAAAAAUAAACAACUAGGGGAGAGUAAUGAGAGGAAAAUGGGGACACCUGUAAUUGAACAACAAUAUAAAAGACUACAAAAAGCUGCCCUCCAACCCCCCAAAACAAAAAUAAACAAACAAGUCUCCCAAAUGUCUGCUCCUUCCCUAUGGGUAAAGCUUUUAAAUUCUGGAGACAAAGGCAGAUAAACGUGAGACCAAAUUUUACAAAUAUGAGGCUAAGGAUGACUUUAAAUCUUACCCUUAACAUUUGUAGAUGAGCACUUGGGAGAAAAAUUCACACAAAGCUCAGAUAAAUAGUGUGAUUUCCACAAGCGCUAAGCUUGACCAAGAAAAAUUUUCUCUUUGAAGGCCAAAGGGUAUUUCAGUACUUAAGGAAUCUUAAUUUAUCAACAAAGCCUAAAGCUUCAAAUACAUUAUAGGAAAUAGCACAGGCUUAAAAAACAACCAAAGUACUUUUAAGAAAUAAGCAGUUUAGAAAGAGACAUAACUUGGGGUAGUGAACACAAUACAAUAUACAGAUGAUGUGUUAUAGAAUCAUACACCUAAAACUUAUAUACUUUAUUAACCAAUGUAACCCCAAUAAAUUCAAUUAAAAAAGAUAAAGGGUUCAGAACAUAAAUGAAAGACAAGGUUAAUGAUUGUAAGUGAAAUUAACUGGUGAAUUAGACAUGAUAUUGUGAAAACUAGAGGGACUUCAGACUGCCAAGAUGUGUAAAACAAAGUGGAUUGAAGAGCGGAGGGAGAGCAAGCCAAGUGCUAGAAUUAUUAUUCUCAUUAGAAAGGAGUUCAAAGUUUUCCUGGUUAAUAAUAGGAAUGAACAAUGGAAGUAAUGAAAACAAUGUUGUAUUAAAAUAUGUUAAUGUUAAAAAUGUUAGAAAAAUUGUGAGAGCGGGCCAAGUAGCCAGACUCAUUCCUAUUAAAAGGAGUUCAAAGUGAAUGGUAAUAGUGAAAACAGUUGUAGUUGUAUUAAAAUGUGUUGAUGUAAAAAAAUAGUCAGAAAAAUAUUAGAUUAAUAUAGCUGUUUUCUGAUUUCAUUUAAAUGUAAACAAAUGGUUUUAGAAAUUAUUGUUUUUUUUACUGAUUCUUGCUCUCCGUCUUUCUCACCUAGUCACAGGCACACUCUAUUCUCAUUCAAAUUCUUCACAGAAUUUGAGAAGGAAGAUGAACUUAUUUGAGUGAUGAGAAAGCCUCAAAAUCAGAAACUUUGGGAAAAGCUGAACAUGUAGUAACUUUUAUCUGAGUGUAUUUCGUGCACAAAGGUAGAUGGGAACUUUCUAAAGGAUUUUUUGUUUUUUUGUUUUCCUGAGCUCAAUUAUUGAUCCUACUCAGGAAGUGCAUGAGCUCAUAUAAGUUGGUGAAAAUUUAACCAAAUUGCUUUGCAUGCUUGUAAAGAAAGGCUUCCACCCCCAAAUUGUAAUUCUAACACUUUAAUUUAUUCCUAGCAUCUUAGAAUGUCUUGUUGAUAUUGUGGUUAUUGGAUGGAAUAUGUAGCUGCUCUCAUGAUUUUUGUGAGUGGUAGAACAAUGACCACUUGGGUUUUUCAAAGAAUGUUCAUGCAAUAAGACAAUAAUGGCUGACUUUCAGCAGACAGUGAUACAGUGAUGUCACCAAGACACCCUUCAACAUGAAUCCGUUCCAUUUCCCUCCCAUUUGUUUAAAUGGGACCUUAUAUGUUUCAAUGAUCAUUUUUGUUUUCUCUUAACUCACAAUAAGUGGUAAAGAGAGGAGGAGAAAAAUAUGGUCCACCACCAUUCUGGGUUUGUGAGCUGGGACUAGACCUCUUCAGGCCCACUUUGUAAUAGUGUGUUUCUCUAAGACCAGAGUGGUAAAACAGUGAAACUUUAUGUUUUUCUGUGUGUGGGUGAAUUAAUGAUUGAUCGUCUUUUUUUAUAGAACUGAAAAUAAUUUUCAAAAUUUGACAGAUUCACAAUGUGCCUACUGUAUGCGUAGCAAUGUGUGUGUUUGUUGACUUGCUUUACAAAGUGGUUUUGAGGAAAUAUACAAAAAGAAAAUAAAGUUCAAGGAGCUAAAAAUACAUGAGGAAACUAGAAGGGCAGUGUAUUUUUAGGUGGGCCCUAAGGUGAAUAUGUGUGAGGGCUAAAAAAUAUUAAUACUUUUUAUCCUACUUCCUAAAUUCUUCUGGCUAGGCUAAUAACCACAUUAAGAGAGAAAGACUAACAGAAGAAUAAGUUUAAUAGAGGUGCAUGGGGAAUUUACAUAGACAUGAUCAUUCCAUAAAAAUUCCCAAGACAGUGAAGCAACAUUGGGUACAUAAGACAUUUUGGACAAAAGAGAAGGGGCAGGGAGGUGCUUUAAAUUUCAGAAGUGAGAGUGGGCAAUUUAUAGGCAAUUGAAGAGCUGAACAUAUGUGGGAGGAAAAUCCUUGCUAGGCAAUUUGGAGACAAUGGGACCCAAAGGGUAUUUAGCUAACUGGCACCUACCUGCCUGAAGCCCUCUGGUUUACCCUACUCAAUUCAGAUUAGGUGAAGGCAGCAUCCUAACAUCUCCUUCCUGAAGCAUGUCUCUGUCUGAAUCUCUCAAGCAGGAUCAAAGGAGAAAGGGGCAAAGCUACUUUCACAGUCUUUUGUUUCUUAACAAACACUUAAAAUCAAAAGCAUCUUCUGGGUAGCAGAAUUAUGGUCCCUUCCCACGUUAGAAGGCCCUAUCUGCUUGGACUGGCAAUGUGUUGAGAGUUUCUGAGGUUAUUAACAAAGCGGGUAUAAAUUCUGCUCUCAGCCUUCAAGGAGUAUGUGUAAUUUACUCAAGAAGAGCUGAUCAUCACACGGGAAAGAACUUGAUAAUAGGUAAUCAUGAAAAGGCAAUGCUAAAUUCUAAUUGCGUGCUGUGGAUGUAAGUGUUAGGGAAAUGAGGGCUCAGGGUGAGUGAAAGUGUUUGAGGAGGUGUUGCCAGAAUAAAUGGGAAGUGAUUCCACCUUGUUUGUCUAUUUGUACCACUGCAGUUAGGAGGGAAAGACAGCAAAACCCUGUAUUCUAUUAAUUCGUGGUGAGGUAUGUGUUAAGGAAUUUGUGGCUCAGAUUAUUUUACAAAAGAGAGUCUAGAUUAUUUUUAAAAAGAGUUUUAAUAAGAGUUAAUAAGUAUUCAGGACUUGAGGAGUCACAAAGUGAAAAAGGAUUUUAUUUUCCUCCAGAUUAAAUAGGUUAGAUAUUUAAAUGGAAAUGCCCAGGUAAUUAUAGCAUGCAAUUUGGAUGAGGUUAGAGCUGUAGAUUAGGGAUAUCAGUUGGAAGGAAGUACUUACAGCUGAGAGAAAGAUAGAACCCGUCAAGGAGUGGUGGCUGAACUGUGGCAUGUUGGGGUGAAAACUUCAGUUAGUUAGAGACAGGGAGGGAGAGGGCCCAAGGAAUGAGCAGAGAGCAGCAAGGACUGAGAACAGAGAGGACAGUGAGAAGACAGCAGAGGAAGGAGCCCCUCAGGAGGCAGAGUCUGGGUAAGCCCGCACCUGAUGCUUGGUGCCCACGAGGUUAAGAACUAAGGAGAAUCAUUGUUCAGUCAGGAGAAAGCAAUGGAAGAAACUCUGAAGAAGGCAGUUUUAAUUUUUCUUAAAAAGUUGGGAUUUGGAAGUCAAAGGGCAGGAAAAAAUGCAAGAAAGAAGGGAGUAGGGUAUAGUACACUCAAUUAAGAAUUUAUAAUAAAAAGGAGGGAAAUAGUAUAGAAGCUUUCAGGCCUACUGAAAUGAGGCAUGUCUGAAUCACUCUUCUCACACAGUUCACCUGUGCAAGUACACAAAGUCCAUGGAAAGGUGAAAGUAAACAUUGUCUUUGGGAGACUCUUCAGAUAGCAACAUGUUGGGACGCAUCCCAGUCCUACUUUAAUCCCCAGCCUGAUGGAAAAUUUGGGUUUCUCUUUCUCUUUUUCCUGCACAGCACAGUUGCACUGCCAAUAUGCUAUAUAGCUCCUCAUCAACAGGCCUGAUAACCAAAGCAAUUUAUGUGCCAGCUCAAGUACAGAUGAUAGCGAGCAGAGUGACAAGUUGGAAUUAGCUGUGGAAAGUGCUAGUGACUUGCAUUUGUUAUGGGUUUCAGGUUGUUGGUUGUUGCAAGUGUGUGUGCAUGUGUGUGUAUGUUGGGGCAUUACCAUAGUAACAGUGGUUUUUUAGCAAACAUUGAAAAUGCCUACUGUUUUGUGUGCUGUUGGUACCUGUGUAAAUUAUCUAUGUUCUUUAUGACAGAAGUUUUUUAUCUUUCCUUAUAAAUAAUUUAUUUAUAGGAGGAAAGAUAAUUUUUGGACAUCUCUCAAACUCAUUUUCACUUCUGGAUUCAAGAGUUUAAAAGUAUAAAUAGUUUAUCUUUUUGACAUGUGAUUUAUUUAAAGAGUGUUAUUCUUUGGCUAAGCAAUUGUUCGAUUCCUUGUUUCCUUAAUAUGUUUGAUAUGUUUUAACUUUUUGCUUUAGUUUCUAAAUUCCUAUUCCUGAAUGUUCUAAAGUGGCACAUUAAUAUAGUUAAAAAAUCCUAUGUCUCACCCUCCCCCACAUUGUUUUCUCAUUCACAGCAUUAAUGUAUUCAACAAAUUCUUCUGUUGUGCCAGUUUACAAAAAUAAUUCUUGGUAUUAAAGAAAUCCAUUAAUCUGAAAAUGGGUUUCACAGGAUCACAAUUUUAAUUGAUAAAUUCCAUAUUUGGACUAUUUCUGUAUGGCACAAUAACUAUUUUGACAGAGGACCUAAUUCACUAUUUUCCAUAAUUUGUCAACUCAUUUGUCUCAAUUUUCAUGACUAGCCUUUUGUCACUAGCAUACUUCUCCUUUGCUCAAUAGCCCUUUAACACAAACUUUUACCUCUCUAGAGUCAGCAAGUUUUAGGGAGGCAUUGUAAGCAAAAUGCACAUAGCAAAUCCGUCAUCUUGUCAUGAAAUCUGGAUUCACGGAAUUGGAGUUAGCACGCCCAGUUGCCAAUUCCCUUUAUCUAAAAUCUCUCUUUACACAAAAUACCCUAGAACCAUAUUUUCCUCAGUGGAA